AUACGGAGGGUGCAAGCGUUAUCCGGAAUCACUGGGCGUAAAGGGCGCGUAGGCGGUCUGUUAAGUCCGAUGUUAAAGACUGGGGCUCAACCCCGGCAUGGCGUUGGAUACUGGCAGGCUUGACGGUUGGAGAGGCGAGUGGAAUUACCAGUGUAGCGGUGAAAUGCGUAGAUACUGGUAGGAACACCCAUUGCGAAGGCAGCUCGCUGGACAACACGUGACGCUGAGGCGCGAAAGUGUGGGGAGCAAACCGGAUUAGAUACCCGGGUAGUCCACACCCUAAACGAUGCAUACUUGGUGUUGGCCCGUUGGGGUCAGCGCCGGAGCUAACGCGUUAAGUAUGCCGCCUGGGAAGUACGGCCGCAAGGUUGAA
Molecule: ribosomal RNA, 373 nt
Filed under: uncultured bacterium
Lineage: Bacteria
Description: bacterial SSU rRNA
Rfam family: Bacterial small subunit ribosomal RNA
Source: RNAcentral